AUACGGAGGAUCCGAGCGUUAUCCGGAUUUAUUGGGUUUAAAGGGAGCGUAGGUGGAUUGUUAAGUCAGUUGUGAAAGUUUGCGGCUCAACCGUAAAAUUGCAGUUGAAACUGGCAGUCUUGAGUACAGUAGAGGUGGGCGGAAUUCGUGGUGUAGCGGUGAAAUGCUUAGAUAUCACGAAGAACUCCGAUUGCGAAGGCAGCUCACUAGACUGUUACUGACACUGAUGCUCGAAAGUGUGGGUAUCAAACAGGAUUAGAUACCCUGGUAGUCCACACAGUAAACGAUGAAUACUCGCUGUUUGCGAUAUACAGUAAGCGGCCAAGCGAAAGCGUUAAGUAUUCCACCUGGGGAGUACGCCGGCAACGGUGAAACUCAAAUGAAUUGACGGGG
This 393-nucleotide ribosomal RNA is filed under the name uncultured bacterium. Its description in RNAcentral is "partial 16S ribosomal RNA". It matches the Rfam family "Bacterial small subunit ribosomal RNA", at positions 523 to 918 of the family's 1533-position model. The record is from RNAcentral.